AGUGAACGCUGGCGGUAGGCCUAACACAUGCAAGUCGAACGGCAGCACAGUAAGAGCUUGCUCUUACGGGUGGCGAGUGGCGGACGGGUGAGGAAUACAUCGGAAUCUACUUUUUUGUGGGGGAUAACGUAGGGAAACUUACGCUAAUACCGCAUACGACCUACGGGUGAAAGCAGGGGAUCUUCGGACCUUGCGCGAUUGAAUGAGCCGAUGUCGGAUUAGCUAGUUGGCGGGGUAAAGGCCCACCAAGGCGACGAUCCGUAGCUGGUCUGAGAGGAUGAUCAGCCACACUGGAACUGAGACACGGUCCAGACUCCUACGGGAGGCAACAGUGGGGAAUAUUGGACAAUGGGCGCAAGCCUGAUCCAGCCAUACCGCGUGGGUGAAGAAGGCCUUCGGGUUGUAAAGCCCUUUUGUUGGGAAAGAAAAGCAGCAGGUUAAUACCCCGCUGUUCUGACGGUACCCAAAGAAUAAGCACCGGCUAACUUCGUG
Molecule: ribosomal RNA, 492 nt
Filed under: uncultured bacterium
Lineage: Bacteria
Description: partial 16S ribosomal RNA
Rfam family: Bacterial small subunit ribosomal RNA
Source: RNAcentral